ACUCAUACAUACAUAUAUAGAUGUAUAAGUACAUAGCUGUUCUUUGCUUGCACAACUUUUACUGUUAGCAACCGAAAUCAUUUCACUUGGCUACGAACGAGCCAGUUGGUCCGCAGCUGAGCGCUCAGCGCUUGCAUUCAUUAAUAAAGCGGUGACAGUGGGCACCCGGCGCGGUCAAUAUUCGCGAGUGGGUGGGUUCACAGCGGUAGAAGGUUGUUAUGUUGUUAUAAACAAAAAUAACUAUAUAUUGUCGUGCAUUGGAAUGGAAACGGUAUGGGUAGUUGGAGGCUAGCAACCAAAUAAUAAAGGUGGUUAUUGGAAAUCAAACAAAUUUUGUUACUAAAAGUGGUGAAGACAGUAUCAAAAAUAAUUAUCAACGAUAUGUAAAUUCAUCAAAAAAAAUAUCGAAAUUUCGCUGGUUAUAAAUGCUAUAAAGAAUAAUUGUAGGCAACGUCACAGUUACAAUAAAUAAAUUUAAAUUAUAGAAAAUAACAUAAAUAAAAAAUUUAAAUAAAUUAAUUGUAAAAUGGAGAGAAAAUAAAUAAGUAAAUAAUAUGUAAAUAAUGUAUAUCAACUAGCUCAACUAUCACCAGUAAUUUUUA
This is a long non-coding RNA of Bactrocera oleae (olive fruit fly), 602 nucleotides long. RefSeq lists it as uncharacterized. The record is from RefSeq and is a predicted model, not a curated record. NCBI's taxonomy places the organism in Eukaryota, Metazoa, Arthropoda, Insecta, Diptera, Tephritidae.